Long non-coding RNA from Oncorhynchus tshawytscha (Chinook salmon), 1116 nucleotides. RefSeq lists it as uncharacterized. The transcript has 2 exons. Lineage: Eukaryota; Metazoa; Chordata; Actinopteri; Salmoniformes; Salmonidae. The record is from RefSeq and is a predicted model, not a curated record.
ACAGUUUUUCACGCGUUUCUUUAUCUGUCAGGUCCAGAAAAGAAUGGUCUGUAGACGCCAUCAUCAUUCUCAGCAACAUUAAACGUCAGCAACAGACUACUUCCUCUUCCGGAAAAAUAGGGGGAGGACUACAGCAUCCAAUGGAUACAGCAGGAGUUAACGAUACUACCGCUGCACCAUCAAGAGUGUCUUGACCAACUGCAUCGCGGCCUGGGACGGGAAUUUCUCCAUCCACGACCGCAAGACCCUCCAGAGGGUGUUGAAGAAGGCCAAGUACAACACUGGGACCGUGCUCUGAUCCAUUCAGGACACCCACUCGAAACUGUGCCUGUGGAAGGACCGCAGCAUCAUCAAGGACCCCAUACACCCCAACCACGAGCUGUUCACUCCCUUACCGUCGGAUAGAUGGUAUCGGAGCAUGAGGUCUGAUACCAACAGGCUCAGAGACUGUUUCUACACAGCAAAUGUUCUAGUGUUAAAUCAACACAGACUAUAGUCUGUAUUGGUCCACACUUUUGAGUGUUAAAUUAACACUGUGCUUAGUGCUGACCCUGUUACCCUUUGUCAGUGUUAGAGAAUUAACAUUGUUAUGCAAUACACCCUGUGUAGUAUUUUUAACACUAUGAAGUGUAUAUAAUUUACACCAUUGGUGUUAUGCAAUAAAACCUCAUAUAGUAUUUUAACCAUUACACAAGUAUUUCGCUACAUCCGCAAUAACAUCUGCUAAACAAGUGUAUGUAACCCUAAAAAUAUAUUUUGAUUUGAAGAGGUUGAAAAGGUGUUGGGUUAAUGACAUUACAAUAAUAGUCUUUAUUGCCGCAUGCAAGUGCUUUUAAAGACUUUACAACUGGCAGGAGACAUACUCACACUAUAAAUAAACAUAACAAUAGCCUACUAAAACUGGUACAACACUUCCACUCACGGGUCACCACUAAGCCAUUCCUCAAUAUAAUUACCCAGUGUGCCUUGACUUUUCAAGUGAAUUGUAGAGUUACCACCUAUUACUGUAUUUGUUAGAGACAUGGUUGUUGAAUUCAUACUGUACAUGUUCAGUCCUGUGGACCUCAAGUGAGUUUCUACUUUAGGCAAAUGCCAUCAUUAAAAUUAAUCUCUUUA